AAACAACAUAUUUAUGUUGGUUAAUAUAUUUGUAUCAUCCAUAGAAACUACAAAGACAGCAACCAUUCAAGGGAUGCCAUUCAUUUUGGAUACUGACGCUAGUGGCACCGCCAUAGGAGGUGUUCUGUCUCGGAAGAUGGGUGGGAAAGAAAAGGUUCUAGCUUACUUCAGCAGUACACUUGCGAGCGCUAUUACUGCGUCACUUAUCGAGAGCUGCUCGCUGUGGUGAGAACUGUAAAGAAGUUCCGGUGUCCCGUUCCCCAAAAAAAUCGUUCUCAUUGUACAAACUGCGCAUGCGCAUGAAGUGGUGGUCACGUGAUUAGCAUUUUCCACAGCGUCGAUGAAAUAUUUAUUCCGCUUGCAAGAUGCACUUCAUUUUAUAUAUGUGCUAAAUGUUGUCAGGAAUACCUAUUUAUGUUUUUUCGUUGUUAACGUAUUGAGUGUCAUGGCAUUCUCGCACUGGUAGAUGUUAGAUUUAGUUGGAGGUAUAAGCACAAAUUUUUACGAGUGGCCUCUCUCAUCUGUGGUAUAAGUCUAUAAGCUUUUUACCGCUUUUGUGUUAUUAGACCAGAACACUUUUAGGCCUACUCUACGCGCGAACCUUACAAUUAAACCCAAAGUCCAAUCCAGGCACAACCAAACCAAUAAACAAACUAUUGAAUAAACUUUUAACAAAUGGAAAAGAAAAAUGAAAUGAUGAUUAAUUAACAGUUAAUGCAGUCAUAUAAAUAAAUGCUGCCAAAUUUUACUUUUGUAACAUAAACGUCACAAUAAUAAUUCGAACGUACGUAACAAAGGUUUGUAUGUUGUCAUCAACUUUAUUAAAAUAUUAAGCACAUUUUACAUGUACAGUCAAUCCCGUAGUUUAUACACAAUAUGUUUCAUAAGAGAUAAAAGUAUAUAUUAAAAAUAAGGCAGAUGAAAAAAAUUGCAUAUUGUUGUAUAUGCAACGGCGUAUUUAGUCGUUGGAGUGGAACUGUUUUUACGAAUGUCGUCAUCAAGGGUCAAAGGUCAAUGGGAACGAUUUUUGCGGGGGAACGAUUUUUUUCUGACACCGGCCUUACUUCGUUUUAUCUCUGAU
Molecule: non-coding RNA, 1081 nt
Organism: Ciona intestinalis (vase tunicate)
Lineage: Eukaryota; Metazoa; Chordata; Ascidiacea; Phlebobranchia; Cionidae
Source: RefSeq, a predicted model, not a curated record